AAGAACGCUAGAGUCACACACGUAGUUCGCGGAUUAAAUAAAUAUAUACGUGUUAUCGCUAUUGCGAGACUAUCUUAAGUAACUUACAUUAUUACGUAUAACAUUGCUAAAAUAAACCAACAACAAGUGUUCAAUUAAAAAUUAAGGUUCUUUAAUAAAAGUGCAAAGUGACGUAAUUAAAUACAUCAAUUCCGAGCCUAUUCCUGCCGCCCCGGAUUUCUAUCCAAAUUUGGCGCGACUCCUUGUGCCUGACCCGAGGCAUGACAGUAAUACAGUUGUUUAGCGCAAUAAGAAUGACAUCAUCACUGUCGUGGAUAACAGAACACUGCGAGCAUUCACAAUUAGGAUACAUAGUGCGAUCAACAAGCGUCUUUUAAUGUCACGACUAUUACUGCCCCAAAUUUUACAUUUUAAAUAAUAAACAUUUGUUAAAGAAGGAGGGCCAAUAAGGCCAAUUUUUGGGUCCAAGUGUCGCAUGUUUUUGAUCACAUAUUUGUAUAGUUGAAGUCGAGAGCUUUCCGAAACACUCUAUGAAAAGCUUUUUACGUUGGGGAAAGUGAAAGUUAUAAGUCAUCAAAGUUAAAGAAACACACAUAUGCAUGAAAUAGACUGUCUUAAUUUUGUGUGUGUGUGUCUGUGUGUGACAGACUGAAAAUAUAUACAUGUAUUUGUUAUUUUAUCCUUCUCUUUUUAAAUACGGGCUUGGAACCGCCAAUGGCAGAAUUACUUUUUUUUGUUUUUUAAAAUAAUUUAUUUUUUUCUUUUUUGUAUAG
Molecule: non-coding RNA, 773 nt
Organism: Nylanderia fulva
Lineage: Eukaryota; Metazoa; Arthropoda; Insecta; Hymenoptera; Formicidae
Source: RefSeq, a predicted model, not a curated record